GAUGAACGCUGGCGGCGUGCCUAAUACAUGCAAGUCGAGCGAACAGAUAAGGAGCUUGCUCCUUUGACGUUAGCGGCGGACGGGUGAGUAACACGUGGGUAACCUACCUAUAAGACUGAAAUAACUCCGGGAAACCGGGGCUAAUGCCGGAUAACAUGUUGAACCGCAUGGUUCUACAGUGAAAGGCGGCUUUGCUGUCACUUAUAGAUGGACCCGCGCCGUAUUAGCUAGUUGGUGAGGUAACGGCUCACCAAGGCAACGAUACGUAGCCGACCUGAGAGGGUGAUCGGCCACACUGGAACUGAGACACGGUCCAGACUCCUACGGGAGGCAGCAGUAGGGAAUCUUCCGCAAUGGGCGAAAGCCUGACGGAGCAACGCCGCGUGAGUGAUGAAGGUCUUCGGAUCGUAAAACUCUGUUAUUAGGGAAGAACAAAUGCGUAAGUAACUGUGCGCGUCUUGACGGUACCUAAUCAGAAAGCCACGGCUAACUACGUG
RNAcentral lists this ribosomal RNA (497 nucleotides) under uncultured bacterium. RNAcentral describes it as "partial 16S ribosomal RNA". It matches the Rfam family "Bacterial small subunit ribosomal RNA", at positions 28 to 507 of the family's 1533-position model. The record is from RNAcentral.